UCCCCGGUAGCUCAGCGGUAGAGCAGUUGACUGUUAAUCAAUUGGUCGCUGGUUCGAAUCCGGCCCGGGGAGCCA
RNAcentral lists this transfer RNA (75 nucleotides) under Alphaproteobacteria bacterium. RNAcentral's name for it is "tRNA-Asn". It matches the Rfam family "tRNA". From Rfam's summary of the family: Transfer RNA (tRNA) molecules are approximately 80 nucleotides in length. Their secondary structure includes four short double-helical elements and three loops (D, anti-codon, and T loops). Further hydrogen bonds mediate the characteristic L-shaped molecular structure. tRNAs have two regions of fundamental functional importance: the anti-codon, which is responsible for specific mRNA codon recognition, and the 3' end, to which the tRNAs corresponding amino acid is attached (by aminoacyl-tRNA synthetases). tRNAs cope with the degeneracy of the genetic code in two manners: having more than one tRNA (with a specific anti-codon) for a particular amino acid; and 'wobble' base-pairing, i.e. permitting non-standard base-pairing at the 3rd anti-codon position. Lineage: Bacteria; Pseudomonadati; Pseudomonadota; Alphaproteobacteria. RNAcentral also lists the same sequence under 1 other name. The record is from RNAcentral.